This 253-nucleotide ribosomal RNA is filed under the name uncultured bacterium. RNAcentral's name for it is "partial 16S ribosomal RNA". It matches the Rfam family "Bacterial small subunit ribosomal RNA", at positions 524 to 776 of the family's 1533-position model. The record is from RNAcentral.
UACAGAGGUCCCGAGCGUUGUUCGGAUUCAUUGGGCGUAAAGGGUGCGUAGGUGGCGCUGUAAGUGGGGUGUGAAAUCCCGGGGCUUAACCCCGGGACUGCAUUCCAUACUGCGGUGCUUGAGGACUGGAGAGGAGACUGGAAUUUACGGUGUAGCAGUGAAAUGCGUAGAGAUCGUAAGGAAGACCAGUGGCGAAGGCGGGUCUCUGGACAGUUCCUGACGCUGAGGCACGAAGGCCAGGGGAGCAAACGGG